Molecule: ribosomal RNA, 262 nt
Filed under: uncultured bacterium
Lineage: Bacteria
Description: partial 16S ribosomal RNA
Rfam family: Bacterial small subunit ribosomal RNA
Source: RNAcentral
GUCCUACGGGAGGCAGCAGUGAGGAAUAUUGGUCAAUGGGCGGGAGCCUGAACCAGCCAAGUCGCGUGAGGGAAGACGGUCCUAUGGAUUGUAAACCUCUUUUGUCGGGGAGCAAGCCUGAGCACGUGUGCCCAGGCGGAGAGUACCCGGAGAAAAAGCAUCGGCUAACUCCGUGCCAGCAGCCGCGGUAAUACGGAGGAUGCGAGCGUUAUCCGGAUUUAUUGGGUUUAAAGGGUGCGCAGGCGGGCUGUUAAGCCGGCGG